RNAcentral lists this ribosomal RNA (523 nucleotides) under uncultured bacterium. RNAcentral's name for it is "bacterial SSU rRNA". It matches the Rfam family "Bacterial small subunit ribosomal RNA", at positions 8 to 526 of the family's 1533-position model. The record is from RNAcentral.
AGAGUUUGAUCCUGGCUCAGAUUGAACGCUGGCGGCAUGCCUUACACAUGCAAGUCGAACGGUAACGCGGGGCAACCUGGCGACGAGUGGCGAACGGGUGAGUAAUGCAUCGGAACGUGCCCAGUAGUGGGGGAUAGCCCGGCGAAAGCCGGAUUAAUACCGCAUACGACCUACGGGUGAAAGGGGGGGAUCGCAAGACCUCUCGCUAUCGGAGCGGCCGAUGUCAGAUUAGGUAGUUGGUGGGGUAAAAGCCUACCAAGCCAACGAUCUGUAGCUGGUCUGAGAGGACGACCAGCCACACUGGGACUGAGAGACGGCCCAGACUCCUACGGGAGGCAGCAGUGGGGAAUUUUGGACAAUGGGCGCAAGCCUGAUCCAGCCAUGCCGCGUGCGGGAAGAAGGCCUUCGGGUUGUAAACCGCUUUUGUCAGGGAAGAAAAGCUUCAAGCUAAUAUCUUGGGGUGAUGACGGUACCUAAAGAGAAUAAGCACCGCCUAACUACGUGCCAGCAGCCGCGGUAAUAC